Molecule: long non-coding RNA, 202 nt
Filed under: Vigna radiata
Lineage: Eukaryota; Viridiplantae; Streptophyta; Magnoliopsida; Fabales; Fabaceae
Description: long non-coding RNA (VRAD_LNC011532)
Source: RNAcentral
GGGGGUUGAAAAGGUUUUGCAAAAACCAAAGAACUCAAUAAAGACACAUGUGCAAACAAACUAAUUUAAACUAGCAUGGUAAUUAAACUAACACUAUUAAAAGCCUUAGACAACAUUUAAACAUCAAACACUAUUACAAUCUGAUUAACAAACACAGCUAAAUGAAAAUUAACAAAGGAAUUUAAAAGUCCAAUUAGCCAAA